CAGCAAGACCUCAGGCUGCCGGCAGCCCAGGAACAGCAUGCUCUGUUGUGCUGGGCUGGGCUCCAAUG
Molecule: microRNA precursor, 68 nt
Filed under: Tupaia belangeri (northern tree shrew)
Lineage: Eukaryota; Metazoa; Chordata; Mammalia; Scandentia; Tupaiidae
Description: miRNA (ENSTBEG00000020459.1)
Source: RNAcentral